UGACGGGUGAGUAACGCGUGGGAAUCUACCCAUCUCUACGGAACAACUCCGGGAAACUGGAGCUAAUACCGUAUACGUCCUUCGGGAGAAAGAUUUAUCGGAGAUGGAUGAGCCCGCGUUGGAUUAGCUAGUUGGUGGGGUAAUGGCCUACCAAGGCGACGAUCCAUAGCUGGUCUGAGAGGAUGAUCAGCCACACUGGGACUGAGACACGGCCCAGACUCCUACGGGAGGCAGCAGUGGGGAAUAUUGGACAAUGGGCGCAAGCCUGAUCCAGCCAUGCCGCGUGAGUGAUGAAGGCCCUAGGGUUGUAAAGCUCUUUCAACGGUGAAGAUAAUGACGGUAACCGUAUAAGAAGCCCCGGCUAACUCUGCCAGCACCGGGUAAUACGAAGGGGGCUAGCGUUGUUCGGAAUUACUGGGCGUAAAGCGCACGUAGGCGGAUACUUAAUCUGAAAUCCCGGGGUCAACCCCGGAACUGCCUUUGAUACUGGGUAUCUCAUCCGGAAAGGUUG
RNAcentral lists this ribosomal RNA (511 nucleotides) under Mesorhizobium sp. 11620943. RNAcentral's name for it is "bacterial SSU rRNA". It matches the Rfam family "Bacterial small subunit ribosomal RNA", at positions 100 to 657 of the family's 1533-position model. Lineage: Bacteria; Pseudomonadati; Pseudomonadota; Alphaproteobacteria; Hyphomicrobiales; Phyllobacteriaceae. The record is from RNAcentral.